CAUGCAAGUCGAGCGGACAGAUGGGAGCUUGCUCCCUGAUGUUAGCGGCGGACGGGUGAGUAACACGUGGGUAACCUGCCUGUAAGACUGGGAUAACUCCGGGAAACCGGGGCUAAUACCGGAUGCUUGAUUGAACCGCAUGGUUCAAUUAUAAAAGGUGGCUUUUAGCUACCACUUACAGAUGGACCCGCGGCGCAUUAGCUAGUUGGUGAGGUAACGGCUCACCAAGGCAACGAUGCGUAGCCGACCUGAGAGGGUGAUCGGCCACACUGGGACUGAGACACGGCCCAGACUCCUACGGGAGGCAGCAGUAGGGAAUCUUCCGCAAUGGACGAAAGUCUGACGGAGCAACGCCGCGUGAGUGAUGAAGGUUUUCGGAUCGUAAAACUCUGUUGUUAGGGAAGAACAAGUACCGUUCGAAUAGGGCGGUACCUUGACGGUACCUAACCAGAAAGCCACGGCUAACUACGUGCCAGCAGCCGCGGUAAUACGUAGGUGGCAAGCGUUGUCCGGAAUUAUUGGGCGUAAAGCGCGCGCAGGCGGUUUCUUAAGUCUGAUGUGAAAGCCCCCGGCUCAACCGGGGAGGGUCAUUGGAAACUGGGGAACUUGAGUGCAGAAGAGGAGAGUGGAAUUCCACGUGUAGCGGUGAAAUGCGUAGAGAUGUGGAGGAACACCAGUGGCGAAGGCGACUCUCUGGUCUGUAACUGACGCUGAGGCGCGAAAGCGUGGGGAGCGAACAGGAUUAGAUACCCUGGUAGUCCACGCCGUAAACGAUGAGUGCUAAGUGUUAGAGGGUUUCCGCCCUUUA
Molecule: ribosomal RNA, 808 nt
Filed under: Bacillus paralicheniformis
Lineage: Bacteria; Bacillati; Bacillota; Bacilli; Caryophanales; Bacillaceae
Description: bacterial SSU rRNA
Rfam family: Bacterial small subunit ribosomal RNA
Source: RNAcentral